Molecule: ribosomal RNA, 497 nt
Filed under: uncultured bacterium
Lineage: Bacteria
Description: partial 16S ribosomal RNA
Rfam family: Bacterial small subunit ribosomal RNA
Source: RNAcentral
ACUCAAAGGAAUAGACGGGGGCCCGCACAAGCAGCGGAGCAUGUGGUUUAAUUCGACGCAACGCGAAGAACCUUACCUGGGCUUGACAUGUUCCUGACCGCCGUGGAAACACGGUUUCCCUUCGGGGCAGGAUCACAGGUGGUGCAUGGCUGUCGUCAGCUCGUGUCGUGAGAUGUUGGGUUAAGUCCCGCAACGAGCGCAACCCCCGUCGCAUGUUGCCAGCAUUUAGUUGGGGACUCAUGCGAGACUGCCGGUGACAAACCGGAGGAAGGUGGGGAUGACGUCAAGUCAUCAUGCCCCUUAUGUCCAGGGCUACACACGUGCUACAUUGGCGCAUACAAUGGGUUGCGAUACCGCGAGGUGGAGCGAAUCCCUUAAAGUGCGUCUCGGUUCGGAUUGCAGGCUGAAACUCGCCUGCAUGAAGGCGGAGUUGCUAGUAAUCGUGGAUCAGCAUUGCCACGGUGAAUACGUUCCCGGGCCUUGUACACACCGCCCGU